This 562-nucleotide ribosomal RNA is filed under the name uncultured fungus. RNAcentral's name for it is "eukaryotic LSU rRNA". The stretch from base 208 to 361 matches the Rfam family "5.8S ribosomal RNA". The record is from RNAcentral. Lineage: Eukaryota; Fungi.
GUCGUACAGGUCUCCGUAGGUGAACCUGCGGAGGGAUCAUUACACAAAUAUGAAGGCGGGCUGGAACCUCUCGGGGUUACAGCCUUGCUGAAUUAUUCACCCUUGUCUUUUGCGUACUACUUGUUUCCUUGGUGGGUUCGCCCACCACUAGGACAAACAUAAACCUUUUGUAAUUGCAAUCAGCGUCAGUAACAAAUUAAUAAUUACAACUUUCAACAACGGAUCUCUUGGUUCUGGCAUCGAUGAAGAACGCAGCGAAAUGCGAUAAGUAGUGUGAAUUGCAGAAUUCAGUGAAUCAUCGAAUCUUUGAACGCACAUUGCGCCCUUUGGUAUUCCAAAGGGCAUGCCUGUUCGAGCGUCAUUUGUACCCUCAAGCUUUGCUUGGUGUUGGGCGUCUUGUCUCUAGCUUUGCUGGAGACUCGCCUUAAAGUAAUUGGCAGCCGGCCUACUGGUUUCGGAGCGCAGCACAAGUCGCACUCUCUAUCAGCAAAGGUCUAGCAUCCAUUAAGCCUUUUUUUUCAACUUUUGACCUCGGAUCAGGUAGGGAUACCCGCUGAACUUA